RNAcentral lists this ribosomal RNA (468 nucleotides) under uncultured bacterium. Its description in RNAcentral is "partial 16S ribosomal RNA". It matches the Rfam family "Bacterial small subunit ribosomal RNA", at positions 28 to 507 of the family's 1533-position model. The record is from RNAcentral.
GACGAACGCUGGCGGCGGGCUUAACACAUGCAAGUCGAACGGAAAGGCCCUGCUUUUGUGGGGUGCUCGAGUGGCGAACGGGUGAGUAACACGUGAGUAACCUGCCCUUGACUUUGGGAUAACUUCAGGAAACUGGGGCUAAUACCGGAUAGGAGCUCCUGCUGCAUGGUGGGGGGUGGAAAGAUUCGGCGGUUGGGGAUGGACUCGCGGCUUAUCAGCUUGUUGGUGGGGUAGUGGCUUACCAAGGCUUUGACGGGUAGCCGGCCUGAGAGGGUGACCGGCCACAUUGGGGCUGAGAUACGGCCCAGACUCCUACGGGAGGCAGCAGUGGGGAAUAUUGCACAAUGGGCGGAAGCCUGAUGCAGCAACGCCGCGUGCGGGAUGACGGCCUUCGGGUUGUAAACCGCUUUCGCCUGUGACGAAGCGUGAGUGACGGUAAUGGGUAAAGAAGCACCGGCUAACUACGUG